This 4318-nucleotide long non-coding RNA is filed under the name Panax ginseng (ginseng). RNAcentral describes it as "long non-coding RNA (PGIN_LNC003715)". The record is from RNAcentral. Lineage: Eukaryota; Viridiplantae; Streptophyta; Magnoliopsida; Apiales; Araliaceae.
GAGCUAGCUACACUUAAUAUAUAAUUUCACAGUUGAGAGCAGAGUAUACAUUAAAGAUGAUGCAGAAGCAGACGUUGGCGAUAGCUCUGGCGUGGCUCCUGGUUGCGUCGUCAAUCAUGAUGUGCGAGUACGCAGCUGCAGACACUACUCCAUUGAAAACUGCUGACCAAGUUCUCCAUCCCCUAGCAGGUAAGAACCAACAUCCGAUCCUUUUGCUUUCGCAUCUGAUAUUCUGCAUGCAUAGUAUAUAUAUAUAUAUAUAUAUAUAUAUAUAUAUAUAUAUCUUGAAUGCAUGCAUGCAUGUGCAUUUACGUAAUAUAUAGUAAUUUAGAGUGUAUAUAUAUAUAUAUAGAGAGAGAGAGAGAACUAACUAUAUAUGCUUGCUAAUGGAUACAAUAUACACUACUUGAAGGUUGUCGCUGCUGCAACUUCAUUCGUGUGAAAGGGUUUAUCCAAUGCGGAACAGUUUGUUGUGUGGAUGGAUGUUGCGGUCGCAAGUGAAGCACCUGCAAUGCAGCUACACAGACAAUAAUAUGAAUCAUGGUGGUGGUGUUGCACAAUAAGAUGAAUAAUGGUGGUCAAAAGUUGCAACAUCGCUGAAGCAAUCAAAGCCCCCCUUAUAGAUUUCCCUGUUUGUUUGUUUUGCAUUCCUAUCGAGUUAUAUAAUGUUUGUCGAAAAGAUCCUGUUUAAUGAAAAAUUAAUGUCUGGAAAUCUGGGUGUUUCAGCAGGAUUUCUUUACGUUGAUGUAUCAUGUAUGUAUGUCUACAUGAGGAUAUAUCUAUCUAUAUAAAAGCGAUCGACUCGUUAAUCUAAAAGUAUCAUUCAUUUCAAGAGUUUGAUUCACAAUCUGUCAUGCCUACUAAUUUCAAGGAACAACUAGAUGAACUGCUGACACAAGAAAAACUGUUUAUGCUCCAUACCAACCCAAACAUACAAAACUGCACCUUUUUAUAGUCAUUUCAUGAUACUUACUUACCAUAUGAAUACAGAGUAUAAAACCCCCUUUUUUUGGAAUACAAAGUUUAAAAAUAGAUCAAUCAUUCUCAAUGGGAUCGAUUCUUAUUUGCAUUAAUUAAUACAUAAAUAUUUUUUGCAGUAAGAUUUUCUUCAGGGACAGAGCCAGAAUUUGUUCUUUGGAGGGACCAAAAAUUUUUUUAACAUCAUAAAAUAUAUUCAUUACUAAAAAGUAAAAUUUCACUAUUACAAAACAUAUUUUUACUAAAACAAAAAUAAUAUAUUAAUAGAAUUUGCUUUGACAAAGAUAAUGAAACAUAGAAAAAAAAAGUAUUUUAAAACAUAUCAAAACUUCGUCAAAACUUGGGGAGCUAUAGUCUUGCACAAUUUUCAAAACAAACUAAAUGUACAAGUGAAUUUUAUAAAUUUUCAAACUUUGGGGUGAAUCUUACUGUUAACACCAAGAUCUUCUGUCACGUCCCAAUCACGUAAGACAUUCUGAUCAUGCACAAUAAACACAGUCAACACCAAAAGCUUGACGGCUUGACCGUCGGGGGAUAGCUCCGGCGUGAGAGUCAGUACAGACGAUCACAAGGUUAACAAUGACGGAAUAAAUAUCUAGUGACUUAAGAGCAAUAAUUAAUUAGUUACCUUUCACCGUGUGUCAUCCUUGCUUUAUAUCCCCAAAGUCCGGUUUGUCAUGUAUGCAACUGACUUUUCGGGCCCACCGUUUUUAGCCAACUAAGCCCUGUCCAAUCCUCAUUAAAUGCAAUGCAGAGAUGAUAGUCAAAGUUCUAUCCCCAAUCUACACCGGUCAAAGCCCAAGUGGAACCAUACUCAUCUAGUAAUUCGGCCCACUGUCACAGCCCAAUAUUUCAUAAGCCCCAAAAUAAAGAUAAUAUCCACCCAAUGGGUUAGCCCAAUGAACCGGCCUAAUACUUUCAAGACCCACCUCAACAUGUUUAAAGUAUUAUGGCCCAACACUUACAAAAAUUUCAAACCUUAGGGGGGCCGUGGCCCCCUCCAACCUCCAUGUAGCUCCGUCCCUGAUUUUCUUUUUGGUUGCCUGUGACAUCACACCAUGGGAUCGACAUUCUUCUCAUCAUUAUACUUUUUGUUGACCGUGUAUAAUUGCACGUAUUUACUGAUUGCGAAAUUGGACAACAAGAUUUAUAAAAGGCAAGCAAAUUCAAUCCAAUAGUAACGAUCAAGAUUAAAAAAAGUUGAAUUGUUCUCAAACUCACAAGAGAUCUACUGUACGAUAUAGAACAACAUGUUCUGUUGCUAAGUCUUUCAUUACUAACUUCAAGCUACUUAGCAACACCCCAAAUCACACUAUCUCUUAGUGAUUGUUUAGGUCUUAGUGAUCCAUUGUAUCCAAGUCUUAGUGACUUGAAGAGUUCUUAGUGAUCUACUGUAUGUAAGUGUUUGUGACUUGAAGAAAUUUUAGUGAUUUAUUGAGUGCAACUAUUAUAUGUGAACAUCUGUGUGAUCAGUCAUCCUUAGUGAAAAAGUAGAAGAGUGAACUAUAAAACCUUUGUAUUCUGAAUCAUUUAAAAUUUGUGUGUCCCCUUUAUAUUCUGCACUUACUUUUCUGUCAACUUCUUUAAUUUGUUUGAGAUUUAAUUCCAAUUGAUUGCUAAAUUCAAAAUUACAAAUUCUUUCAAAUUUUUGAAGGGAUUUUUCAAAUUAUUAUUCCGCAAUGCAUAAUUAUAAAUUAAUCUGCUUAAUUUAUAAAUCGGUAAUAAUUUCUUUUAAAAAAAUUUAAAAUCUAUUUAACCCACCUCUAAAUCUCUUGGUGCAUUUGGAAUAUAACAAAAACUUUGACACUUCCUGUGGGUUCUAUCCAGUGGAAAGAUAAUCACAAAAAUUUCUCUAGUCAAAGGGCAGAUAUGUAAAACGAAAGGGCCUACCUUACCCACUUUUAAGUCGCAAGUAAAUUGCCUUAAAUAUUUAAUAACUUGCAAAAGUGACUCCAAUAGAAAGAUUUCUAUCUAUCAAUCUGGCAAACGUGGAAUUCACUACUGAGGAGUAAUGGGAAAUGGACUCGAGUCAUGGGAAACGUGGAAUUCCAAAUGGAUGAUUUCAUUUAUUUUAAAUUAUUUAUCGUUUUAUAUAAUUUACAAGAAUUAAUUACAAUUUUUUUUAAAAUUACUUCUCAUAAAAAAUUGUUAUAGAUGUGAAAUAAAUAUGAUAAUAAAUGAGAAUUUAAACGUAUUAUAAAUAUUUGAUAUUAUAUUUAAUCAUUUAUUUAAUUCUUGUACACAACUUUAAAACAUCAGAAAGGGGACCAUGCUCGUGAGUUUUUUCACUUCAAUUACCAAGAGAAACCAAUUAGGAAAUGACCGACAAGCAGGCCUAUGGAAUAUCUUUAAAAUAUGAGUAAUGCUACAAACACAAACUAUUUUACAAAUAUUUUACAAACUGCUGAUGUGGCAUACUCCACAUCACCAUAUUGAUUAACGACUUGUUUAAAUAUAGUCUUCGGCCCCACACAAUAUGCUGAGAUGGAAUACUUUGUGUCUUUAGCAUUAUUCUUAAAAUAUUAUUCGACUAUAAAUAAAAUAAAAUAAAAUAAAAACACAACAACUUGAACGUACGUCAAGACAAGACAAUAGUCAAGGACUUAUUGAUUCUUGUUUUGUGGAAGAAUAUAAGUACACUUGGGUGAACAACACCCAAGCUAUUGAUAUUGAAUGUGAAUGUAAAUCAAGUUGCGGCCUAACAUGGACAAAUGAGUAAUGGCUGAUUGACCAGCUGGAAAUUAAGAAUCGCUCUCCUCAAUCUCCUAUUUGCUUUAUAAAUAGAAUGCAAGAGAAGAGGGGAAAAUUAUAUACCCGAGCUAGCUAGCUACACUUGAUAAUUUCACAGUUGAGAGUAGAGUAUACAUUAAAGAUGAUGCAGAAGCAGACGUUGGCGAUAGCUCUGGUGUGGCUCCUGGUUGCGUCGUCAAUCAUGAUGUGCGUGUUCGCAGCUGCAGACACUACUCCAUUGAAAACUGCUGACCAAGUUCUCCAUCCCCUAGCAGGUAAGAACCAACAUCCGAUCCUUUUGCUUUCGCAUCUGUUCUACAAAUUAAUAUUAAUCUGCAUGCAUACUAACUAUAUAUGCUUGCUAAUGGAUACAUAUAUAUACACUACUUGAAGGUUGUCGCUGCUGCAACUACAUUAAAGUGAGAGAGUUUUUCAAUUGCAACAAAGUUUGUUGUGUGGAUGGAUGUUGCGGUCGCAAGUGAAGCACCUGCAAUGAAGCUACACAGACAAUUAUAUAUAAUAUGAAUCAUGGUUGUGUAGUUGCACAAUAAGAUGAAUAAUGGUGGUCAAAAGUUGCAACAUCUCUGAAGCAAUUAAUCAACCNNNNNNN